Molecule: small nuclear RNA, 104 nt
Organism: Balaenoptera musculus (blue whale)
Lineage: Eukaryota; Metazoa; Chordata; Mammalia; Artiodactyla; Balaenopteridae
Source: Ensembl
GUGCUUGCUUCAGCAGCACAGAUACUAAAACGAGAACAAUACAAAGGUUAGCAUGGCCCCUGUGCAAAGACCACGUGCCAAUUUGUGAAGCAGUCCUCAUUUUG